GCGGCCUAUCAGCUUGUUGGUGGGGUGAUGGCCUACCAAGGCGAUGACGGGUAGCCGGCCUGAGAGGGCGACCGGCCACACUGGGACUGAGACACGGCCCAGACUCCUACGGGAGGCAGCAGUGGGGAAUAUUGCGCAAUGGGCGGAAGCCUGACGCAGCGACGCCGCGUGAGGGAUGACGGCCUUCGGGUUGUAAACCUCUUUCAGCAGGGACGAAGCGCAAGUGACGGUACCUGCAGAAGAAGCACCGGCCAACUACGUGCCAGCAGCCGCGGUAAUACGUAGGGUGCAAGCGUUGUCCGGAAUUAUUGGGCGUAAAGAGCUCGUAGGCGGCUUGUCACGUCGGGUGUGAAAGCCCGGGGCUUAACCCCGGGUCUGCAUUCGAUACGGGCUAGCUAGAGUGUGGUAGGGGAGAUCGGAAUUCCUGGUGUAGCGGUGAAAUGCGCAGAUAUCAGGAGGAACACCGGUGGCGAAGGCGGAUCUCUGGGCCAUUACUGACGCUGAGGAGCGAAAGCGUGGGGAGCGAACAGGAUUAGAUACCCUGGUAGUCCACGCCGUAAACGGUGGGAACUAGGUGUUGGCGACAUUCCACGUCGUCGGUGCCGCAGCUAACGCAUUAAGUUCCCCGCCUGGGGAGUACGG
Molecule: ribosomal RNA, 642 nt
Filed under: uncultured bacterium
Lineage: Bacteria
Description: bacterial SSU rRNA
Rfam family: Bacterial small subunit ribosomal RNA
Source: RNAcentral